Molecule: ribosomal RNA, 627 nt
Filed under: Escherichia coli
Lineage: Bacteria; Pseudomonadati; Pseudomonadota; Gammaproteobacteria; Enterobacterales; Enterobacteriaceae
Description: partial 23S ribosomal RNA
Rfam family: Bacterial large subunit ribosomal RNA
Source: RNAcentral
AUAAUGGGUCAGCGACUUAUAUUCUGUAGCAAGGUUAACCGAAUAGGGGAGCCGAAGGGAAACCGAGUCUUAACUGGGCGUUAAGUUGCAGGGUAUAGACCCGAAACCCGGUGAUCUAGCCAUGGGCAGGUUGAAGGUUGGGUAACACUAACUGGAGGACCGAACCGACUAAUGUUGAAAAAUUAGCGGAUGACUUGUGGCUGGGGGUGAAAGGCCAAUCAAACCGGGAGAUAGCUGGUUCUCCCCGAAAGCUAUUUAGGUAGCGCCUCGUGAAUUCAUCUCCGGGGGUAGAGCACUGUUUCGGCAAGGGGGUCAUCCCGACUUACCAACCCGAUGCAAACUGCGAAUACCGGAGAAUGUUAUCACGGGAGACACACGGCGGGUGCUAACGUCCGUCGUGAAGAGGGAAACAACCCAGACCGCCAGCUAAGGUCCCAAAGUCAUGGUUAAGUGGGAAACGAUGUGGGAAGGCCCAGACAGCCAGGAUGUUGGCUUAGAAGCAGCCAUCAUUUAAAGAAAGCGUAAUAGCUCACUGGUCGAGUCGGCCUGCGCGGAAGAUGUAACGGGGCUAAACCAUGCACCGAAGCUGCGGCAGCGACGCUGAUGCGUUGUUGGGUAGGGGAGCGU